CACAUCCUUUACUCAUCCCUAUCCUCCCAGCUCGACCCUUGGACCUCUUCAGAAGUUGCUGGAGCUCAGGAGAGAGUCUUCCACCUUCUCUCUUUCUCUCUCUCUAGGGCUUUUCUCUCUCUACGAGAAAACCGCCGAUUCGAGUUGAUUUCGCGCCGGGUUCGUCGCUUGCUGUUUAGGCAGACUUGGGGCCAGCUUCUAAAAGAGAUUCCAGCAGCUAGAGGAGAGAUGUUUAGCUGUGAAUUGACCCCCUUAGACCAGGGAUAAUCUAAUUUGAAGCUUACUUAAGGUCUUUGAGUCUCUUUGAGCUGAACUUGUACUCUUAGAAGCUGGUUUGGAAGCUAUUCUAUCCUGUGCAAGAAGGUUUAGUUGAUCCUUGGACCGCCUUCUACUGGCAUUGGAGGGCCUUUGGAAGCUUAACUUGAGCAGGGUUGGAGCCUUGUGGAGCUGAUUAUUGCGACUUCUUGUGACUAUUUGGAGCUUAGUACUAGAGCCAUCUACAGGAGAGGCUAGGGAUCGUGGCAAGGGAG
Long non-coding RNA from Ananas comosus (pineapple), 530 nucleotides. RefSeq lists it as uncharacterized. The transcript is spliced from 6 exons. NCBI's taxonomy places the organism in Eukaryota, Viridiplantae, Streptophyta, Magnoliopsida, Poales, Bromeliaceae. The record is from RefSeq and is a predicted model, not a curated record.